AGUCCCACAAUAAUUUUGAUCACCAAGAAUUACAAAACUGAUUUUAAACCCCAAAAAACCAAAUACUCAAUCAAAAGGAUCAAUUAAGAGCACAUAACCCUAAUUCUAGCACAAGCAAUGGUUGCCAAGCAAUGACAACCCCCAACCUAUUGUCACCCCACACGGUGACGCGCUAAUGCUGAAAAAUUAACGGGUUAAGCCAAUUUACCAGAGCGGACGUGUCUGAGUCCGUAUUAUCGAGAGAGAUGCGAAUCUACUGCUUUAGGACCGCAAUCUUGG
Molecule: long non-coding RNA, 279 nt
Filed under: Olea europaea (common olive)
Lineage: Eukaryota; Viridiplantae; Streptophyta; Magnoliopsida; Lamiales; Oleaceae
Description: long non-coding RNA (OEUR_LNC003863)
Source: RNAcentral